Molecule: small RNA, 442 nt
Filed under: Vigna angularis var. angularis
Lineage: Eukaryota; Viridiplantae; Streptophyta; Magnoliopsida; Fabales; Fabaceae
Description: Non-protein coding transcript
Source: RNAcentral
UUAAUGUAAAGGAGUACUUCAACUGGUCAAAUUUGAUUACAGUGCUUGAUUUUCACCAGUAAUGAUCUCAAAGCAAUAAUGAGGAAAUUGCAGAGGGGCGUUUGAAGAGAGGGAAAUGCUUUUAGGGAAAUUACAGGUAAUGAUUGCAGUAGCAAAGAGGGAAAUGGUUGGGCACAAGAUACAAAACUGGAUCGCGAAAAUUCCCCCGAUCAACCACGCCACUGUUAUCUCAAGAUAAAAACUCCGAUGCAUGAGAAUCCAAGGAUUCCAAGGUGGGCACCAAACAACGUGACUCUGAUGCGUCUUUAGGUGCGUUGUCCAAAGCAGGGUCCAAGUCGGCUUCGAAUUCUGCAAGCACCAUUGAGACAACGUCGUGUGUACUGAACGAUGGGUUUUGGAGAACCAUGGGGCCACAUGAAGUUGACGUUGCAGGCAAGAGGGG